UUCAUGAUAAAUAAAUGGUCAACAAAUAUUGAUUUAUGACUGCUAAGUUAAAUUUUAUUUCAAAAUUACGUUUAAAAUAAUUUAAAAGAAGUAUAUACGCAAAUGUAAUUCGAGAUUUUUCCUCUUGGAGAGAAAGCAAUGGUGUACAAAAAUAAUGUCGAAGAAGGUCUUGGUCUUGUUUCCAAUUGGGUUGUAUUUGUUGUAUUACUUAUUAGGCAAAAUUAAAGACUAAAAAUUGUCAAAUAUGAAAACGAAGGCAGUCCCAAAGCAUCUUUAUAAUAGUCCUUUAUGGAUAUGAAAAAUUAUUUUAACUGGUUUAUGCAAACCUGUGGCAGUUUGAUAAAAGAAAUUUUGAGAAAAAUAGUUGUCCAAUAGUUAAGAACAUUGCGUGUACUCAAACGUAUAUCGGAAAAACUGCUUCAAAACUAAAAAAAAAAACAGCUCCUAGUAGGUUAUUAGAUAAACUCAUUUCGUGUGCUCAUAUUCAAAAUCUGGCAAUUUAUUUGUUUCAGCUCUUAAAAAGAUCUGCUUUUUUCUAGAAACAUUAGAAAAUAUGUUUGUAAAUAUUAAGAAUCUGUAUAAGCAAGGAAUACAUGAGCUAUAUGAAAAGCAAGACAAGAUUCACUACAAGAAGGUGAAAAGUUUGGGUCUCAUAAUAAUUUUAGGAUUUCACAAAUAGUCCACAUGUCAAAGCUGUUCUUUUGCACUAAUUUUGGAUUCAAGAAUUAUUACGCAAGGUAGGAUUUAUGAAAACAGUACAAUAAUAAAGCAAAAAUGUUUCUGUAUACACAAGUAAUAUACUGGAUUGGAGGUUUAAUCAAA
Bactrocera tryoni is the source of this 822-nucleotide long non-coding RNA. RefSeq lists it as uncharacterized. NCBI's taxonomy places the organism in Eukaryota, Metazoa, Arthropoda, Insecta, Diptera, Tephritidae. The transcript has 2 exons. The record is from RefSeq and is a predicted model, not a curated record.